AACGAACGCUGGCGGCAUGCCUAACACAUGCAAGUCGAACGAGACCUUCGGGUCUAGUGGCGCACGGGUGCGUAACGCGUGGGAACCUGCCUUUAGGUUCGGAAUACCUCAGAGAAAUUUGAGCUAAUACCGGAUGAUGUCUUCUGACCAAAGAUUUAUCGCCUUUCGAUGGGCCCGCGUUGGAUUAGCUAGUUGGUGGGGUAAAGGCCUACCACGGCGACGAUCCAUAGCUGGUCUGAGAGGAGGAUCAGCCACACUGGGACUGAGACACGGCCCAGAAUCCUACGGGAGGAAGAAGUGGGGAAUAGUGGACAAUGGGCGAAAGAAUGAUCCAGCAAUGCCGCGUGAGUGAUGAAGGCAUUAGGGUUGUAAAGCUCUUUUAACCGAGAUGAUAAUGACAGUAUCGGGAGAAUAAGCUCCGGCUAACUCCGUG
RNAcentral lists this ribosomal RNA (433 nucleotides) under uncultured bacterium. RNAcentral describes it as "partial 16S ribosomal RNA". It matches the Rfam family "Bacterial small subunit ribosomal RNA", at positions 29 to 507 of the family's 1533-position model. The record is from RNAcentral.